AGUGAACGCUGGCGGUAGGCCUAACACAUGCAAGUCGAACGGCAGCACAGUAAGAGCUUGCUCUUACGGGUGGCGAGUGGCGGACGGGUGAGGAAUACAUCGGAAUCUACUUUUUCGUGGGGGAUAACGUAGGGAAACUUACGCUAAUACCGCAUACGACCUACGGGUGAAAGCAGGGGAUCUUCGGACCUUGCGCGAUUGAAUGAGCCGAUGUCGGAUUAGCUAGUUGGCGGGGUAAAGGCCCACCAAGGCGACGAUCCGUAGCUGGUCUGAGAGGAUGGUCAGCCACACUGGAACUGAGACACGGUCCAGACUCCUACGGGAGGCAGAAGUGGGAAAUAUUGGAAAAGGGGCGCAAGCCUGAUCCAGCCAUACUGCGUGGGUGAAGAAGGCCGUCGGGUUGAAAAGCCCUUUUGUUGGGAAAGAAAAGCAGCAGGUUAAUACCCCGCUGUUCUGACGGUACCCAAAGAAUAAGCACCGGCUAACUUCG
RNAcentral lists this ribosomal RNA (490 nucleotides) under uncultured bacterium. RNAcentral describes it as "partial 16S ribosomal RNA". It matches the Rfam family "Bacterial small subunit ribosomal RNA", at positions 29 to 505 of the family's 1533-position model. The record is from RNAcentral.